GUGGAUUAGAUACCCUAGUAGUCCACGCCGUAAACGAUGGAUACUUGUUGUUGGAGGUAUUGACCCCUUCAGUGACGAAGCUAACGCGUUAAGUAUCCCGCCUGGGGAGUACGGCCGCAAGGUUAAAACUCAAAGAAAUUGACGGGGGCCCGCACAAGCGGUGGAGCAUGUGGUUCAAUUCGAUGCAACGCGCAGAACCUUACCUGGGUUUGACAUGGUUUGGAAGGCUACCAGAGAUGGUGCCGCCCGCAAGGGCCGAAUCACAGGUGCUGCAUGGCCGUCGCCAGCU
RNAcentral lists this ribosomal RNA (289 nucleotides) under uncultured bacterium. Its description in RNAcentral is "partial 16S ribosomal RNA". It matches the Rfam family "Bacterial small subunit ribosomal RNA", at positions 773 to 1060 of the family's 1533-position model. The record is from RNAcentral.